UACGGAGGAGGCAAGCGUUAUCCGGAAUUAUUGGGCGUAAAGCGUCCGCAGGUGGCACCUCAAGUCUGCUGUCAAAGACCGGGGCUUAACCCCAGAAAGGCAGUGGAAACUGAAGUGCUAGAGUGCAGUAGGGGUAGAGGGAAUUCCCGGUGUAGCGGUGAAAUGCGUAGAGAUCAGGAAGAACACCGGUGGCGAAAGCGCUCUGCUAGGCCGCAACUGACACUGAGGGACGAAAGCUAGGGGAGCGAAUGGG
RNAcentral lists this ribosomal RNA (253 nucleotides) under uncultured bacterium. RNAcentral describes it as "partial 16S ribosomal RNA". It matches the Rfam family "Bacterial small subunit ribosomal RNA", at positions 524 to 776 of the family's 1533-position model. The record is from RNAcentral.